AUUGAACGCUGGCGGCAGGCCUAACACAUGCAAGUCGAGCGGAUGAAGGGAGCUUGCUCCUGGAUUCAGCGGCGGACGGGUGAGUAAUGCCUAGGAAUCUGCCUGGUAGUGGGGGAUAACGUCCGGAAACGGGCGCUAAUACCGCAUACGUCCUGAGGGAGAAAGUGGGGGAUCUUCGGACCUCACGCUAUCAGAUGAGCCUAGGUCGGAUUAGCUAGUUGGUGGGGUAAAGGCCUACCAAGGCGACGAUCCGUAACUGGUCUGAGAGGAUGAUCAGUCACACUGGGACUGGAAAACGGGCCAAGCUCCCGCGGGAGGCCCUAGGUGGGAAUUUUCCACAAUGGGCCAAAGCCUGCUCCAGCAACGCCCCGUGGGUUAAGAAAGUUUUCCGGUUUUUAAACCCUUUUAUUUUGGAGGAAGGGGUGUAAAUUUAAUUCUGUCCUUUUUGACGGUACCCAACAAAAAAGGCCCGGCCAACUUCGUG
This 484-nucleotide ribosomal RNA is filed under the name uncultured bacterium. Its description in RNAcentral is "partial 16S ribosomal RNA". It matches the Rfam family "Bacterial small subunit ribosomal RNA", at positions 30 to 507 of the family's 1533-position model. The record is from RNAcentral.